Molecule: small RNA, 2472 nt
Filed under: Rattus norvegicus (Norway rat)
Lineage: Eukaryota; Metazoa; Chordata; Mammalia; Rodentia; Muridae
Description: coiled-coil-helix-coiled-coil-helix domain containing 4 like 1 (Chchd4l1)
Source: RNAcentral
CUGCAAGCUGCUAGUUGUGAGCACCAGCACUGAGAACCAGCACCCGGAGCUACCAUGGCCUACAGCCGGCAAGAAGGGAAGGAUAAAAUUGUAUUUGUGACCAAAGAAGACCACGAAAGUCCCAGCAAUGCCGAGCUGGUGGUUGACGACCCCACUGAUCCCUAUGCGGAGUAUGGACUGACUCUGCCAAAUGGAAACAUUAACUGGAAUUGCCCGUGCCUUGGAGGAAUGGCCAGCGGCCCCUGUGGAGAACACUUCAAGUCUGCCUUUUCCUGCUUCCACAACAGCACGGACGAAGUCAGGGGAUCCGAGUGUGUAGGUCAGUUCCAGGCCAUGCAGGAGUGCAUGCAGAAAUACCCAGACAUCUAUCCCCAAGAAGAGAAUGAGGACGAGGAUACAGACGACUUCUACCAGGAGGGCCUGGAGAACUUUGAGGAUGAAGAAGAGAUCGAUGAUGACGAUGACUACUACGAGGGGGUUGAGAAUGAGGAUGAAGAGGAGGAUGAAGAGGAGGAGGAGGGCGACUACUACUACUAUGAAGAAGAGGAGGAGGAGGAUGACUAUUAUGAGGACUAUUACGAGGACAACUACUACCAUGACAAUGACUAUUACUAUGAGAACGAUGACUACUAUGAAGAGAACAAUAACUACUAUGAGGAGGAAGAAGAAGAUGACAUCUACUACGAGGCUGACUACCUGGAGGAGGACGAGGAAGAAGAGGAUGAGGAUGUUUACUAUGAGGCUGACUACUUCGACGAGGAGGAGGAGGAGGAGCAAGAGAAAGAGGAUCCAGAAGAUCCAGCAAAAUCCCGGGAGGAAGCGGAUGCCACUGAGGACUCCUCUGAAGAUAAAUUGCAGUACUUCAGCGCCUGAAGGCCACAACCCAGAUCCUCCCGUUUGCUUAGCCACAGAACUUUCUGCACUAUGAAUGCCCUACCUUUCAAUCCCUCUUGCUCUCUCUCUCUGAAAGCAUCCUCUCCUCUGUUGUUUUAUGUACUGUAAUAUAGAAAAGAACUUACUUUGAUGAUCGGGGGUCUUGGCGACUUGCCAUAUACCCUGAAGAAAAGAGGUGUGUGUGUGUGUGCACCUGCAUUCUACAUAAACUCACCCCCAACACUAGGCCACUGCCGAACUGUCCUCUUUAAGUGCCCUGGAUUCUGCUGCUUUGAAAUAAUGUCAAGUUUCUCAACAGUCAAGAGCCGUUACUCAGGGCAGUCUCUUGCCCUUGGAGUAUCACCCUAUCAGAAAAACCACCAAAAAAGAAAUGGCUGGAAAGUGGCAGCUGAUCUUCAGGCUCAGGGAAGAAGAUGUAACAACUUGGUUUCCUGUUUGUUCAUGUGCUGGUUUUCCAGGAGUGCCGUCUUGCCAUAGACUGCGGGUCUGGCCAGCUGACCUAUUUCAUCCCACCAUUCCACAUUCCACAUGGCUCAUGGUCUUUCCUUCCAUUUAAGGAAAGCGUUGGAAGGAAAAACCAACUCAGGCUGUGAGCUCAACUUUUAAUCUUCUGUGGAAAGUUUCGAAGCUGGAAAUGCAUACCUCUGAUCAAGAAAAUGGUGAACACAUUUUAUAGAACUCAUUUCCUUUGGGUCCAUCAUCCUUUUCUGGGACAGAAAAUAACCAAAGUGAUUUAUGGAACAGCCAAAUAUUUUCUUUCACCUUAGAGUUCUUAGAGAAAUGUAUUUUUCUACAACUCCUAGCUUUUAGACCUGAGCAACUAGCAUGAUAAAGCUGCCAUUUCCUGAGAUGGGAGUGCUCCCAGGGCAAGUUACUGUACCCAAAGCUAAACUACAUUUCCUACAUUUUUCCCUCUAGAUCUGUCCACUGUUGUAUGGACUGAUAGCCUCAUGAGUAUGCUACAGUUCUAGGUUAGGGGUGGUCAAAGUAAAACCCAGUGAGAUCUGGAAGGCAGAAUUGGAGCAUCAGCUGUUACACCUUGAAGAUUUGUGCCAGGUACCAGGCACUGCUGCAGUUCACACACACUGUUGCUGACCUGGUACUUCGCCCUGUUAGUCUCCAGUGAUGAUGCCAAACACAGAUAGCUAUAACCUCAGCUCUCACUGGAUCUCUUUCCCUCAGCUUUCCUGAAUCCAGGGCCAGGUUUCUUUCCAGCUCAGUGAGAAGGGAAUUAGAACCUUCUGUAUGUUACCUCUGUCAUCCAGGUUCAAGGCAGUGAGCCCCAGACAGGAUAAUCCUCACUGGUUCCAUUAAACUUUGUGAUUCUUGAUUUCUUUUUCUUCAUCCUCUACUUUUCUUGCUUUCUUAUCCUGCUAAACCACCAUGAAUCAGGCUCACUCUCUGAAACAGAAGCAACACCCCCCCCCAAUCAAUCCCAGUAACUUCCCUUAGUGAUUCCUGAUGGAUAAUGACUUUGCUCUUUUCCCUCAAAUGUUUUCUCCCACACCCUACUUCCCUAGCCUCUGCCAUGAUUGUAUGGAGCCUGAUUCCUAUAAAUAAAUGCUAUUCCAUAGCACA